RNAcentral lists this small nucleolar RNA (73 nucleotides) under Albugo candida. RNAcentral's name for it is "Small nucleolar RNA U3". It matches the Rfam family "Small nucleolar RNA U3", at positions 1 to 72 of the family's 219-position model. Rfam says of the family: Small nucleolar RNAs (snoRNAs) are involved in the processing and modification of rRNA in the nucleolus. There are two main classes of snoRNAs: the box C/D class, and the box H/ACA class. U3 snoRNA is a member of the box C/D class. Lineage: Eukaryota; Oomycota; Peronosporomycetes; Albuginales; Albuginaceae. The record is from Rfam by way of RNAcentral.
AAGACCGUACUUUUACAGGAUCAUUUCUAUAGUACCUUCUUUUCUACUUGACUUUCCUAGUAGACAACCUCCU